Molecule: ribosomal RNA, 566 nt
Filed under: Candidatus Kaiserbacteria bacterium
Lineage: Bacteria; Candidatus Kaiseribacteriota
Description: partial 23S ribosomal RNA
Rfam family: Eukaryotic large subunit ribosomal RNA (bases 223-566)
Source: RNAcentral
CAUCAGAUUUUUGAACGCAAGUGGCGGCAGCUUCGGCCGUCAUGUUUGUUUCAGUGUGUUCGGUUAAUUGCAUCAUAGAAUUAAAUGUGAUUGAAGAAAUUCUCUCACCGAGUAUGAGCUAGCGUCAGUGCGAGCAUUACACGAAUUAGUCACUAAUAUGGUGAUAAUCGUGAAAGUGAUCAAGCUGUAGAAUCGCUAGUUAAUAACCGAAUAUCCAAUUAUAACACCUGAAAUAAGCAAGGUUACCCGCUGAACUUAAGCAUAUCAGUAAGCGGAGGAAAAGAAAAUAACCAUGAUUACCUCAGUAGCGGCGAGUGAAGAGGUAUAAGCCCAAGAUGUUAAUCUAUGCGAAAACAUAGAAUUGUAAUCUAUGGAAUAGCUCAGAAAGCAGAAGUCCGCCAUAAGUGCCUUGGAACAGGACGCCAGAGAGGGUGAAAGCCCCGUCUUCGGGUAGGACAAUGCAAUAUGAGAUGUUUCCAAGAGUCGGGUAGUUUGGGAAUGCUGCCCUAAUUGGGAGAUAAACUUCUUCUAAGGCUAAAUAUUGAUGGGAGACCGAUAGCAAACAA